UACGUAGGGAGCAAGCGUUGUCCGGAAUCAUUGGGCGUAAAGCGCGCGUAGGCGGCCCUGUAAGUCCGUUGUGAAAGUCAAAGGCUCAACCUUUGAAAGCCGAUGGAUACUGCAGGGCUAGAGUCCGGAAGAGGCGAGUGGAAUUCCUGGUGUAGCGGUGAAAUGCGCAGAUAUCGGGAAGAACACCCGUGGCGAAGGCGGCUCUCUGGGACGGUACUGACGCUGAGACGCGAAAGCGUGGGGAGCGAACAGG
This 253-nucleotide ribosomal RNA is filed under the name uncultured bacterium. Its description in RNAcentral is "partial 16S ribosomal RNA". It matches the Rfam family "Bacterial small subunit ribosomal RNA", at positions 524 to 776 of the family's 1533-position model. The record is from RNAcentral.